GUUUUUAUGAUUUCUAGUUAACUACGGAUACAGGAGAUCUCUGGGGAUGGGCACACCUAAGUAGGCUGUCCUCAGGGAACCCUUGUGGAAUGACCAUUUUCAACAUGCAGUGCUCUCCUGGUAUGGACAUGCUUCCCCAGCAUCUCUUUAGAAAUCAAGAAGCAGGAAAGUCUCACAACAGCUAGCACUGUUCCUUUGGUCCUGGCACACUUGAGAACCACAGUCGCUCAAACCAUCCUGCCCACGAGUCUCGGGUUAACUUCAUGUGCUGGACAGGAAAAAGACACCACACCAGAAAGCAGGACGGUGUUUGCAUGGAGAUAGCAGGGCUGAAGUCAGACCAGGGCAGGGAGCAGAACAGUUCCCUCCAUCCCCUUGCCAGUGUUUGACCUUGUGCACCUCAGUCCCUAAAACCCUGACACUUUCUGCCCUGCUCACCAUGGUACGUUUGAAUACCAUAUUUAUUUAUUAUUUCAGUGUUUGCCAGUAAGUAACCAACAGAUGCUGAGAAGGAAUAUACCACGGUAAAGCAAAAGCUUAGAGAUAACUUGGUGCUGUCACUAUCUUUGGCUGUCCUCCAGCCACAGGGCAUUCCCUAGCUUCUCCCUGGGGAAUGAGAAUUGUUGGCAGGCUAGGAACCACACGUAGACGUGCAUUCUCUGAAUGGGUGUUGUGCAAACAUCUUGCAUAUCCAACUUGUUGGAAGAAACAGGGGUGAGCUCCAAUAGCUCCUUCUUUCAUUGGCAGUCUCCCUCUCCUGUGCAUCCUCUUCAGACAGCAACAAGAGAGAAACUCAAGCGGGUGCUGUGUAAUCCAACCUGAGCCUGAGAGCAGCCAGUGCUCUCCUGGGAAGCUGCUUGCUCGUUACAGAAGAGCUAUUUAUAUCUCAGAGCUGUGUACGUGUUUCAUUGCAGGGGAUACAAAAGAAUAUAUUUGAGGUGUGCUUAUGUGGAGUUGUUCCCUUUUCUGUAAAUUUCUCCAUUUGAUUUCUCUAUGGGAUUUGGGGAAGGUGGAAACAGGAUUAUGAGGACACAGAAAGAGAAGUCCCUCUUGAGGAAGAAUCUCAUGACUCUAUGGCACUGUUUAUACUACGUGUACAUGGCAGAGUACUCUGUAGGCUUUGAAUGAACCCCCUGUUUCAGCAGAAAGUGCAAGACACAUGGGCAGCAAGGCAGCUGGCAGUGUCAUAAGUGCUGUGAGCACUUGCUCUUUCAAAACAUAGGGGCGAGUUUGAGUCUCUCUGCUGAGCAGUGUAACUUGGUUAAAGAUAGGGGUCUAGGUCUAUCCAAUAACUUAGUGUUGCCUUUUUCUGUGGUUGUUUUAAUGACAACUGAACAUAUCCAAGAAAUAAAACUGAAGUUUUCAUAUGGAUGGUUAUCUCCAUCAGCCCAGGUGACAGAUAUCAGUACUUCAGUGUGCUGAGCACCAGAGUGCUUCUGAAUCAGAGACCUUCGAUGGUUCAUAAUAGAUGAAUUCUCUGAUUUACUUUACUUCUCCUUUCCUUAAGAAAUGAAUUGAUACUGCACGUACAUAACACUUUCUCCUUUUUGUAAUAUAUUACUCAACACGGAAUAAUUAGGAAUGCAAAGGUUGCACUGAACAGCAGCAGCAGCAGCACGCUUGCCUCCCACUGAAUCAUUUUUGUCUCUUUUUAAAAGAUACAUUUCCUGAUUACUGAAUUAUUUCAAAUAUAAUAUUUAACCUUCACCUUCUUUAAUUUGUGUGCACAUUAAGCAAGCUUGAUAAUUGAGGACUGUUGCUACAUUUUGGAAA
Molecule: long non-coding RNA, 1773 nt
Organism: Anas platyrhynchos (mallard)
Lineage: Eukaryota; Metazoa; Chordata; Aves; Anseriformes; Anatidae
Source: RefSeq, a predicted model, not a curated record